Molecule: ribosomal RNA, 429 nt
Filed under: uncultured bacterium
Lineage: Bacteria
Description: bacterial SSU rRNA
Rfam family: Bacterial small subunit ribosomal RNA
Source: RNAcentral
UGGGGAAUAUUGCACAAUGGGCGAAAGCCUGAUGCAGCGACGCCGCGUGGAGGAUGAAGGCCUUCGGGUUGUAAACUCCUGUUGAGUGGGGAAAAAUGCUAUUCUUAAAUAAAGAAUAGAGCUGAUAGUACCACUAGAGAAAGCACCGGCAAACUUCGUGCCAGCAGCCGCGGUAAUACGAAGGGUGCGAGCGUUAUUCGGAGUUACUGGGCGUAAAGAGCGCAAAGGCGGCGUCUUAAGUUGGUUGUUAAAUUUCCUGGCCUAACCAGGAACCUGCGUCCAAAACUGGGAUGCUAGAGUGUAAGAGAGGGAAGUGGAAUCCUCGGAGUAGCGGUAAAAUGCGUAGAUCUCGAGAGGAACACCGGAGGCGAAGGCGGCUUCCUGGCUUACAACUGACGCUCAAGCGCGAAAGCGUGGGGAGCAAACAGG